GGUCGCUACAGGUCGUUUGAGGUAACCUCGUCGUAUCGAGGCAACCUAAUCUUGUAGUUGGUCUGAAUGACGUUUUAACGCGACGUGAGUGGCGAACGGGUGAGUAACACGUGGGUAACCUGCCCAGAAGUAGGGGAUAACACCUGGAAACAGAUGCUAAUACCGUAUAACAGAGAAAACCGCAUGGUUUUCUUUUAAAAGAUGGCUCUGCUAUCACUUCUGGAUGGACCCGCGGCGUAUUAGCUAGUUGGUGAGGUAAAGGCUCACCAAGGCAGUGAUACGUAGCCGACCUGAGAGGGUAAUCGGCCACAUUGGGACUGAGACACGGCCCAGACUCCUACGGGAGGCAGCAGUAGGGAAUCUUCCACAAUGGACGCAAGUCUGAUGGAGCAACGCCGCGUGAGUGAAGAAGGGUUUCGGCUCGUAAAGCUCUGUUGUUAAAGAAGAACGUGGGUAAGAGUAACUGUUUACCCAGUGACGGUAUUUAACCAGAAAGCCACGGCUAACUACGUGCCAGCAGCCGCGGUAAUACGUAGGUGGCAAGCGUUAUCCGGAUUUAUUGGGCGUAAAGCGAGCGCAGGCGGUCUUUUAAGUCUAAUGUGAAAGCCUUCGGCUCAACCGAAGAAGUGCAUUGGAAACUGGGAGACUUGAGUGCAGAAGAGGACAGUGGAACUCCAUGUGUAGCGGUGAAAUGCGUAGAUAUAUGGAAGAACACCAGUGGCGAAGGCGGCUGUCUGGUCUGCAACUGACGCUGAGGCUCGAAAGCAUGGGUAGCGAACAGGAUUAGAUACCCUGGUAGUCCAUGCCGUAAACGAUGAUUACUAAGUGUUGGAGGGUUUCCGCCCUUCAGUGCUGCAGCUAACGCAUUAAGUAAUCCGCCUGGGGAGUACGACCGCAAGGUUGAAACUCAAAAGAAUUGACGGGGGCCCGCACAAGCGGUGGAGCAUGUGGUUUAAUUCGAAGCUACGCGAAGAACCUUACCAGGUCUUGACAUCUUCUGACAGUCUAAGAGAUUAGAGGUUCCCUUCGGGGACAGAAUGACAGGUGGUGCAUGGUUGUCGUCAGCUCGUGUCGUGAGAUGUUGGGUUAAGUCCCGCAACGAGCGCAACCCUUAUUACUAGUUGCCAGCAUUAAGUUGGGCACUCUAGUGAGACUGCCGGUGACAAACCGGAGGAAGGUGGGGACGACGUCAAAUCAUCAUGCCCCUUAUGACCUGGGCUACACACGUGCUACAAUGGAUGGUACAACGAGUCGCGAGACCGCGAGGUUAAGCUAAUCUCUUAAAACCAUUCUCAGUUCGGACUGUAGGCUGCAACUCGCCUACACGAAGUCGGAAUCGCUAGUAAUCGCGGAUCAGCAUGCCGCGGUGAAUACGUUCCCGGGCCUUGUACACGCCGCCCGUCACGCCAUAAGAACAUACAACACCCAGAAGUUCAGCAUCACCAACUAGUCGCAACGAGGCCACAGAGCGAACUCU
Molecule: ribosomal RNA, 1477 nt
Filed under: Pediococcus pentosaceus
Lineage: Bacteria; Bacillati; Bacillota; Bacilli; Lactobacillales; Lactobacillaceae
Description: bacterial SSU rRNA
Rfam family: Bacterial small subunit ribosomal RNA
Source: RNAcentral